GACGAACGCUGGCGGCGUGCUUAACACAUGCAAGUCGAACGGAAAGGCCCUGCUUUUGUGGGGUGCUCGAGUGGCGAACGGGUGAGUAACACGUGAGUAACCUGCCCUUGACUUUGGGAUAACUUCAGGAAACUGGGGCUAAUACCGGAUAGGAGCUCCUGCUGCAUGGUGGGGGUUGGAAAGUUUCGGCGGUUGGGGAUGGACUCGCGGCUUAUCAGCUUGUUGGUGGGGUAGUGGCUUACCAAGGCUUUGACGGGUAGCCGGCCUGAGAGGGUGACCGGCCACAUUGGGACUGAGAUACGGCCCAGACUCCUACGGGAGGCGGCAGUGGGGAAUAUUGCACAAUGGGAGGAAGCCUGAUGCAGCAACGCCGCGUGCGGGAUGACGGCCUUCGGGUUGUAAACAGCGUUCGCCUGUGACGAAGCGUGAGUGACGGUAAUGGGUAAAGAAGCACCGGCUAACUACGUG
RNAcentral lists this ribosomal RNA (468 nucleotides) under uncultured bacterium. RNAcentral describes it as "partial 16S ribosomal RNA". It matches the Rfam family "Bacterial small subunit ribosomal RNA", at positions 28 to 507 of the family's 1533-position model. The record is from RNAcentral.